GAGAGAGGAAGAGCAGCCGCCGCGACCACAAGUCGUGAGGAAAGUCCCUCCACCACUGGACACACGGAUGCCGAAAUGGCUUAGGGCGAGAGUUCUGGCUCUGACACAGAAACGCUUACCACGAUAUGCCAAUGCAAUGAUGCCGGAAGGCUGAGGUCGCAUAAUGCCCUGCCAUUGCGGGCAGUGGCAUCGAUGGAUCGCUUCUGGCGAUCCGUUAUCGAUGGAUGAAACGGUGAAUCCCCGUGGGUGCAAGCCAACACAGGGCAAUCGCGAAAGCGAGAAGCGGAGUCCAGCCGUGCCCGGGUAUGGCGCGUAGUCGAAUGCUGCUAUGAACAGAAGGGGGCUUACUCUCCUCACUC
This 359-nucleotide RNase P RNA is filed under the name Methanosarcinales archaeon. RNAcentral describes it as "RNase P RNA component". It matches the Rfam family "Archaeal RNase P". Rfam says of the family: Ribonuclease P (RNase P) is a ubiquitous endoribonuclease, found in archaea, bacteria and eukarya as well as chloroplasts and mitochondria. Its best characterised activity is the generation of mature 5'-ends of tRNAs by cleaving the 5'-leader elements of precursor-tRNAs. Cellular RNase Ps are ribonucleoproteins. Lineage: Archaea; Methanobacteriati; Methanobacteriota; Methanomicrobia; Methanosarcinales. The record is from RNAcentral.